RNAcentral lists this ribosomal RNA (1691 nucleotides) under Salmonella enterica subsp. enterica serovar Derby. RNAcentral describes it as "partial 23S ribosomal RNA". It matches the Rfam family "Bacterial large subunit ribosomal RNA", at positions 1259 to 2925 of the family's 2925-position model. Lineage: Bacteria; Pseudomonadati; Pseudomonadota; Gammaproteobacteria; Enterobacterales; Enterobacteriaceae. The record is from RNAcentral.
GCCUGUGAGGGUUGCUGGAGGUAUCAGAAGUGCGAAUGCUGACAUAAGUAACGAUAAAGCGGGUGAAAAGCCCGCUCGCCGGAAGACCAAGGGUUCCUGUCCAACGUUAAUCGGGGCAGGGUGAGUCGACCCCUAAGGCGAGGCCGAAAGGCGUAGUCGAUGGGAAACGGGUUAAUAUUCCCGUACUUGGUGUUACUGCGAAGGGGGGACGGAGAAGGCUAUGUUGGCCGGGCGACGGUUGUCCCGGUUUAAGCGUGUAGGUGUGUGUUCCAGGUAAAUCCGGUUCACUUUAACACUGAGGCGUGACGACGAGGCACUACGGUGCUGAAGCAACAAAUGCCCUGCUUCCAGGAAAAGCCUCUAAGCAUCAGGUAACAUCAAAUCGUACCCCAAACCGACACAGGUGGUCAGGUAGAGAAUACCAAGGCGCUUGAGAGAACUCGGGUGAAGGAACUAGGCAAAAUGGUGCCGUAACUUCGGGAGAAGGCACGCUGACACGUAGGUGAAGUGAUUUACUCACGGAGCUGAAGUCAGUCGAAGAUACCAGCUGGCUGCAACUGUUUAUUAAAAACACAGCACUGUGCAAACACGAAAGUGGACGUAUACGGUGUGACGCCUGCCCGGUGCCGGAAGGUUAAUUGAUGGGGUCAGCGCAAGCGAAGCUCCUGAUCGAAGCCCCGGUAAACGGCGGCCGUAACUAUAACGGUCCUAAGGUAGCGAAAUUCCUUGUCGGGUAAGUUCCGACCUGCACGAAUGGCGUAAUGAUGGCCAGGCUGUCUCCACCCGAGACUCAGUGAAAUUGAACUCGCUGUGAAGAUGCAGUGUACCCGCGGCAAGACGGAAAGACCCCGUGAACCUUUACUAUAGCUUGACACUGAACAUUGAGCCUUGAUGUGUAGGAUAGGUGGGAGGCUUUGAAGUGUGGACGCCAGUCUGCAUGGAGCCGACCUUGAAAUACCACCCUUUAAUGUUUGAUGUUCUAACGUGGACCCGUAAUCCGGGUUGCGGACAGUGUCUGGUGGGUAGUUUGACUGGGGCGGUCUCCUCCUAAAGAGUAACGGAGGAGCACGAAGGUUGGCUAAUCCUGGUCGGACAUCAGGAGGUUAGUGCAAUGGCAUAAGCCAGCUUGACUGCGAGCGUGACGGCGCGAGCAGGUGCGAAAGCAGGUCAUAGUGAUCCGGUGGUUCUGAAUGGAAGGGCCAUCGCUCAACGGAUAAAAGGUACUCCGGGGAUAACAGGCUGAUACCGCCCAAGAGUUCAUAUCGACGGCGGUGUUUGGCACCUCGAUGUCGGCUCAUCACAUCCUGGGGCUGAAGUAGGUCCCAAGGGUAUGGCUGUUCGCCAUUUAAAGUGGUACGCGAGCUGGGUUUAGAACGUCGUGAGACAGUUCGGUCCCUAUCUGCCGUGGGCGCUGGAGAACUGAGGGGGGCUGCUCCUAGUACGAGAGGACCGGAGUGGACGCAUCACUGGUGUUCGGGUUGUCAUGCCAAUGGCACUGCCCGGUAGCUAAAUGCGGAAGAGAUAAGUGCUGAAAGCAUCUAAGCACGAAACUUGCCCCGAGAUGAGUUCUCCCUGAGACUUAGAGUCUCCUGAAGGAACGUUGAAGACGACGACGUUGAUAGGCCGGGUGUGUAAGCGCAGCGAUGCGUUGAGCUAACCGGUACUAAUGAACCGUGAGGCUUAACCUUACA